Molecule: ribosomal RNA, 497 nt
Filed under: uncultured bacterium
Lineage: Bacteria
Description: partial 16S ribosomal RNA
Rfam family: Bacterial small subunit ribosomal RNA
Source: RNAcentral
GAUGAACGCUGGCGGCGUGCCUAAUACAUGCAAGUCGAGCGAACGGACGAGAAGCUUGCUUCUCUGAUGUUAGCGGCGGACGGGUGAGUAACACGUGGAUAACCUACCUAUAAGACUGGGAUACCUUCGGGAAACCGUAGCUAGUACCGGAUAAUAUUUUGAACCGCGUGGUUCAAAAGUGAAAGACGGUCUUGCUGUCACUAAUAGAGGGUUCCGCGCUGCAUUAGCUAGUUGGUAAGGUAACGGCUUACCAAGGCAACGAUGCAUAGCCGACCUGAGAGGGUGAUCAGCCACACUGGAACUGAGACACGGUCCAGACUCCUACGGGAGGCAGCAGUAGGGAAUCUUCCGCAAUGGGCGAAAGCCUGACGGAGCAACGCCGCGUGAGUGAUGAAGGUCUUCGGAUCGUAAAACUCUGUUAUUAGGGAAGAACAUAUGUGUAAGUAACUGUGCACAUCUUGACGGUACCUAAUCAGAAAGCCACGGCUAACUACGUG